This 252-nucleotide ribosomal RNA is filed under the name uncultured Odoribacter sp. RNAcentral's name for it is "partial 16S ribosomal RNA". It matches the Rfam family "Bacterial small subunit ribosomal RNA", at positions 524 to 776 of the family's 1533-position model. Lineage: Bacteria; Pseudomonadati; Bacteroidota; Bacteroidia; Bacteroidales; Odoribacteraceae. The record is from RNAcentral.
UACGGAGGAUGCGAGCGUUAUCCGGAUUUAUUGGGUUUAAAGGGUGCGUAGGCGGUUUUUUAAGUUAGUGGUUAAACGUCGGGGCUUCACCUUGAUUUGCCAUUAAUACUGUAAGACUCGAGUUCAGACGAGGUAGGCGGAAUAAGUUAAGUAGCGGUGAAAUGCUUAGAUAUAACUUAGAACUCCGAUAGCGAAGGCAGCUUACUAAGCCAUAACUGACACUGAAGCACGAAAGCGUGGGGAUCAAACAGG